UAGAAGAGAGGAGCUGAGAAGAACUGACAAGAGCAGGUUGAGUGGCCCAUAUAUGCCCAGGGGAGGGGAUUUAGAAGAAAAGAAUGAGAUGGCGGCCCUCCAGCGUUCAGUCUGGUGGAAAAGACAGACAAGCCAAGAAAUCCUUAUAGCAAGGAGAGAGAGACAGAGCAUGAGCAGGGGAGGAGCAGAGAGAGAGGGAGACACAGAUUUCAAAGCAGGCUCCAGGCCCUGAGCUGUCAGGACAGAGCCCCAUGCGGGGCUUGAACCCACGAACCGUGAGAUCAUGACCUGAGCCGAAGUCAGACGCUCAACCGACUGAGCUGCCCAGGCGCCCCAGCCAUUUGUCAUUUUUAAGAUGAACAACUUGAGUGACAGGAGAUUCUUUCAGAAACUCACAGGGGGGCCAAAGUGAGACCUCAGCAUCAGACUCCAGGGCCUAUCAAGCCAUGGAGGAAAGCUCUUGUGUAUACGGCCAGCCCAACACCGUUUGGAACGUCCUUCCUACAUGAAAACUGACAGCCCUUAAACAACCGAAUGCAGCCUCUCUUAUAAGAAGCUGGUGGGAUAGUCCCUUGGUCUUCCACGUGUUGCCAUCUCAUCAAUAAGAGGCGGUAACAAACUCAUCUCCAGCUGGGGUCUCUCGGACAACAACUCUAAUGGAUAUUUUUAAUUCAUAUGGAAACCAAUAAUUCUGGCCACUUCAGGAAAAGCAGUUUGUGAUACAGUUUGCCUCCUCUCUCUCUCUCUCCUUUUCUCUCCAGUUAAUUUCCGUGACCUACUUCUCCUUUACUAAGUAGUUAUCCUCUUCUGCAUUUGAACUCACGGGUUGUCUAAAGGCUUGUUUACUAUCGUCACUGCUGGUUGCUUUUGCUUUGUUGUCAUUUUAAUGAGUUCACAGGGUAGAAGUGGUGGGGAAAGUGAGGUCAUGUGCUUCAGGGAAGGUGGAUCAAGGUGGCCAUGCACAAGUGGGGCUCAUUUGUAAAACUUUUUUAAUGGACCAUUUCUAACUCUCAAAUAUUUAGUUUUCAAAUCUGCCCCCCCCCCCGCCAAUAUUUUGUUUACUUCAGAUUAAAAGUAGGAUAUUUCUGGGUCAAAGUCUGCACUACAUUAUCUUAAUUAUUGUUGCAAGGUGUUAGACUGACUUUGGAACAGAAGGAAAACCUAGAGGAAAAAACACUUUGCAAGAUAUGACUUUUAUCACCUCCCACUACAAAUAAAAUGAAAGGGAGUUUCCAUUUGUAUGGAACCCAGAAAACAAUGUUUUUGCUGCCUCGGGGAUCUUCUAAAGAUUUUUAUAAGAUAUAAAGAUAACAUUUGUUCAUCAUAUACAAUUUGUAACUGGAGAAAAAUGUA
Molecule: long non-coding RNA, 1353 nt
Organism: Neofelis nebulosa (Clouded leopard)
Lineage: Eukaryota; Metazoa; Chordata; Mammalia; Carnivora; Felidae
Exons: 3
Source: RefSeq, a predicted model, not a curated record